RNAcentral lists this non-coding RNA (148 nucleotides) under Chlorocebus sabaeus (green monkey). The record is from Rfam by way of RNAcentral. Lineage: Eukaryota; Metazoa; Chordata; Mammalia; Primates; Cercopithecidae.
GCUGAGCAUGGUGGCGCGUGCCUGUAGUCCCAGCUACUCAGGAGGCUGAGGCAGGAGAAUCGCUUGAACCCAGGAGGCAGAGGUUGCAGUGAGCCGUGAUUGUGCCACUGCACUCCAGCCUGGGUGACAGAGUGAGACUCUGUCUCAA